AGGUAACCCGUUAAGCAAGCCGCCUGGGGAUUACGGCCGCAAGGCUAAAACUCAAAGGAAUUGGCGGGGAGGCACACAACCAGUGGAACAUGUGGUUCAAUUCGAUACAAACCGAAGAACCUCACCAGGGUUUGACAUGCAACUGCAAGCGCACGGAAACGUGUGACCUUCGAGGGUGUUGCACAGGUGCUGCAUGGCUGUCGUCAGUUCGUUCCGUGAGGAGUGCCCUUAAGUGGGACAACGAACGCAACCCCUAUCCUAUGUUACAAGUGUCAUAGGAAACUGCCCUGCCGUUUGGCGGGGAGGAAGGCGGGGCAGACGUCAAGUCAGCAUGGCCCUUACGCCCUGGGCUACACACAUGUUACAAUGGACAAAACAGCGAGCUUUGCAAGCCGGUAACGGUGAGCCAAUCUCUUAAAUUUGUCCUCAGUGGGGAUUGAGGUCUGCAACCCGACCUCAUGAACGUGGAAUUGCUAGUACUCGCGGGUCAGCUAUACCGCGGUGAAUACGUUCUUGCCUCUUGCACACACCGCCCGUCAAGCCAACAAAGUCGUGGGCAUCGAA
This 564-nucleotide ribosomal RNA is filed under the name uncultured organism. RNAcentral describes it as "bacterial SSU rRNA". It matches the Rfam family "Bacterial small subunit ribosomal RNA", at positions 850 to 1424 of the family's 1533-position model. The record is from RNAcentral.